This 253-nucleotide ribosomal RNA is filed under the name uncultured bacterium. RNAcentral describes it as "partial 16S ribosomal RNA". It matches the Rfam family "Bacterial small subunit ribosomal RNA", at positions 524 to 776 of the family's 1533-position model. The record is from RNAcentral.
UACGAAGGGUGCAAGCGUUACUCGGAAUUACUGGGCGUAAAGCGUGCGCAGGCGGUUUUGUAAGCCAGAUGUGAAAUCCCCGGGCUUAACCUGGGAAUGGCAUUUGGGACUGCAAGGCUGGAGUGCGGCAGAGGAGACUGGAAUUCCCGGUGUAGCAGUGAAAUGCGUAGAUAUCGGGAGGAAUACCGAUGGCGAAGGCAGGUCUCUGGGCUGACACUGACGCUCAUGCACGAAAGCGUGGGGAGCAAACAGG